UCCGGCUUUCACCGGCUGUCUCCUUAGAGUGCCCACCAUUACGUGCUGGCAACUAAUGAUAAGGGUUGCGCUCGUUGCGGGACUGAACCCAACAUCUCACGACACGAGCUGACGACAACCAUGCACCACCUGUCUCCAUUGUCCCGAAGGAAAGUCUCAUCUCUGAAACGGUCAAUGGGAUGUCAAGCCCUGGUAAGGUUCUUCGCGUUGCUUCGAAUUAAACCACAUGCUCCACCGCUUGUGCGGGCCCCCGUCAAUUCCUUUGAGUUUCAGCCUUGCGGCCGUACUCCCCAGGCGGAGUGCUUAUUGGGUUACCUUCGGCACAGAGGGCAUGAUACCCCCAACACCUAGCACUCAUCGUUUACGGCGUGGACUAC
RNAcentral lists this unclassified non-coding RNA (377 nucleotides) under uncultured Caryophanales bacterium. Its description in RNAcentral is "uncultured Bacillales bacterium contains 16S-23S intergenic spacer region". Lineage: Bacteria; Bacillati; Bacillota; Bacilli; Caryophanales. The record is from RNAcentral.